UUGUCACGCCAGUGGCACUGCCCGGUAGCUAAGUUCGGAAUCGAUAACCGCUGAAAGCAUCUAAGCGGGAAGCGAGCCCUGAGAUGAGUCAUCCCUGACCCCUUGAGGGUCCUAAAGGGCCGUUGGAGACCACAACGUUGAUAGGUGGGGUGUGUAAGCGCGGCGACGUGUUGAGCUAACCCAUACUAAUUACCCGUGAGGCUUAACCAUACAACACCCAAGAAGUGUU
Molecule: ribosomal RNA, 229 nt
Filed under: Aeromonas sobria
Lineage: Bacteria; Pseudomonadati; Pseudomonadota; Gammaproteobacteria; Aeromonadales; Aeromonadaceae
Also listed under: 1 other name
Description: partial 23S ribosomal RNA
Rfam family: Bacterial large subunit ribosomal RNA
Source: RNAcentral